Molecule: ribosomal RNA, 370 nt
Filed under: Paragoniocotes sp. VSS-2003
Lineage: Eukaryota; Metazoa; Arthropoda; Insecta; Psocodea; Philopteridae
Description: partial 12S ribosomal RNA
Source: RNAcentral
GGAUUAGAUACCCUAUUAUAUUUUUAAUUUAGUGUGUAGAAAAAAUAAAUAAAAAAUAUGGCGGUUUCUUAUUCUUACUAGAGGGGUAUGUUAUUAAUAAAUAACGAAACUGCGCGACUAUCUGUCCUAAUUGAGUAAAUAAGCAUUUUGUACACCGCUAUCUGAAAAGGAAUUUUAGGGGAUUUUUUUUGAUCAGUUUUUUCGAAGUAAGGUAAGUUAAGGUGCAGAUUAUGGUUAGGGAAUAAUGUACUCCAUUAAGAAAGAUGGAAAAUUUUUGUAAUUUUCUUUGAAAAAAGAAUUUAGAAGUAAAGGUAGUUAACUAUACUGUUUUGAAUAUAGUAAAAAGAAGUGUACACAUCGCCCGUCGCUC